RNAcentral lists this ribosomal RNA (234 nucleotides) under Massilia hydrophila. RNAcentral describes it as "partial 23S ribosomal RNA". It matches the Rfam family "Bacterial large subunit ribosomal RNA", at positions 1441 to 1681 of the family's 2925-position model. The record is from RNAcentral. Lineage: Bacteria; Pseudomonadati; Pseudomonadota; Betaproteobacteria; Burkholderiales; Oxalobacteraceae.
GCACCGUCGUAUGAUGCGAUGGGGGGACGGAUCGCGGAAGGUUGUCCAGCUGUUGGAAUAGCUGGUUUCUGGUUCAUAGAAGGCGCUUAGGCAAAUCCGGGCGCAGGAUUCAAGGGACUGGGACGUGUACCCAUGUGGUGCGAAGCAAUCGGAAGUGGUUCCAAGAAAAGCCUCUAAGCUUCAGUCAUACGAGACCGUACCGCAAACCGACACAGGUGGGCGAGAUGAGUAUUC